This is a long non-coding RNA of Catharus ustulatus (Swainson's thrush), 387 nucleotides long. RefSeq lists it as uncharacterized. NCBI's taxonomy places the organism in Eukaryota, Metazoa, Chordata, Aves, Passeriformes, Turdidae. The transcript is spliced from 3 exons. The record is from RefSeq and is a predicted model, not a curated record.
GGUAGUAGAACCCAGUGGGAAGAGGGGCGGGACAGAGCGAUGCUGCCUGAACUGACAGCAAAUUUAAAUUACUGAGCUUUCUUUUGCUUUUUUUCUUUCUUUGAGUGCCCUUUCCUUUUUUUUUCCCUCUUUUUUAUUUUUUUGGUAUUUUUCUACUCUGCGACAAACUGAAAAGAUUCGAGCACACACUAAUUUAACAACCCUGCUUCGUCGUCUUCUUUUUUUUUCCCCUUCUGCUUCCAGGAUAAUUAAAAGAGAAACCUGUAAAGGCAACGUUCCUUCAAGCAAGUUGGUGCUGUAACGUGCUGGUCUACAAGCAGAAAGAGCUCAAGGUGUUAAUCAGCUGAACAGAUAUUCAGCUAUUUUCAACAGAAAAACAAGGAGUAG